AUGAGUUGCAUAAAAGAAGUUCCGACACUCAGAGGUGACAACCACACUGAGUGGAGGAAGAAAGUUGAACUGACAUUUGUUUGUGCUGAUCUGGACUGGGUUCUGGAUGAACCACAGCCGGUCAGACCUACAGAGCCAGUAAGAGAGACUACUGAUGAUGAUGCUGCAUGGGCUAAAAAGAGGGGGGAUUAUGCUCCUUUGGAGAUGUCCUAA
Molecule: ribosomal RNA, 213 nt
Filed under: Triticum aestivum (bread wheat)
Lineage: Eukaryota; Viridiplantae; Streptophyta; Magnoliopsida; Poales; Poaceae
Description: partial small subunit ribosomal RNA
Source: RNAcentral